This 400-nucleotide ribosomal RNA is filed under the name phytoplankton environmental sample. RNAcentral describes it as "partial small subunit ribosomal RNA". It matches the Rfam family "Eukaryotic small subunit ribosomal RNA", at positions 587 to 989 of the family's 1831-position model. The record is from RNAcentral.
AGCUCCAAUAGCGUAUAUUAAAGUUGUUGCAGUUAAAAAGCUCGUAGUUGGAUUUGUGGUGUGCGUUGGGCUUCCUUCCCUUUUGGGUUGUGUGUUGCCUGGCGUUGCCAUCCUUGGGUGGAAUCUGUGUGGCAUUAGGUUGUCGUGCAGGGGAUGCCCAUCGUUUACUGUGAAAAAAUUAGAGUGUUCAAAGCAGGCUUAGGCCAUUGAAUAUAUUAGCAUGGAAUAAUAAGAUAGGACCUUGGUACUAUUUUGUUGGUUUGCGCACCGAGGUAAUGAUUAAUAGGGACAGUUGGGGGUAUUCGUAUUCCAUUGUCAGAGGUGAAAUUCUUGGAUUUUUGGAAGACGAACUACUGCGAAAGCAUUUACCAAGGAUGUUUUCAUUAAUCAAGAACGAAAG